UACGUAGGGACCAAGCGUUGUUCGGAUUUACUGGGCGUAAAGGGCGCGUAGGCGGCAAUUCAAGUCAUCUGUGAAAUCUCCGGGCUUAACUCGGAACGGUCAGAUGAUACUGCUUUGCUAGAGUGCGGAAGGGGCAAUCGGAAUUCUCGGUGUAGCGGUGAAAUGCGCAGAUAUCAGGAAGAACACCUAUGGCGAAGGCAGCUCUCUGGGACGGUACUGACGCUGAGACGCGAAAGCGUGGGGAGCGAACAGG
RNAcentral lists this ribosomal RNA (253 nucleotides) under uncultured bacterium. RNAcentral's name for it is "partial 16S ribosomal RNA". It matches the Rfam family "Bacterial small subunit ribosomal RNA", at positions 524 to 776 of the family's 1533-position model. The record is from RNAcentral.